This 650-nucleotide ribosomal RNA is filed under the name uncultured Bacteroides sp. Its description in RNAcentral is "bacterial SSU rRNA". It matches the Rfam family "Bacterial small subunit ribosomal RNA", at positions 70 to 715 of the family's 1533-position model. Lineage: Bacteria; Pseudomonadati; Bacteroidota; Bacteroidia; Bacteroidales; Bacteroidaceae. The record is from RNAcentral.
UCUUAGCUUGCUAAGGCUGAUGGCGACCGGCGCACGGGUGAGUAACACGUAUCCCUCUUUACGUCUACUCUUGGCCAGCCUUCUGAAAGGAAGAUUACUCCAGGAUGGGAUCAUGAGUUCACAUGUCCGCAUGAUUAAAGGUAUUUUCCGGUAGACGAUGGGGAUGCGUUCCAUUAGAUAGUAGGCGGGGUAACGGCCCACCUAGUCAACGAUGGAUAGGGGUUCUGAGAGGAAGGUCCCCCACAUUGGAACUGAGACACGGUCCAAACUCCUACGGGAGGCAGCAGUGAGGAAUAUUGGUCAAUGGGCGAUGGCCUGAACCAGCCAAGUAGCGUGAAGGAUGACUGCCCUAUGGGUUGUAAACUUCUUUUAUAAAGGAAUAAAGUCGGGUAUGCAUACCCGUUUGCAUGUACUUUAUGAAUAAGGAUCGGCUAACUCCGUGCCAGCAGCCGCGGUAAUACGGAGGAUCCGAGCGUUAUCCGGAUUUAUUGGGUUUAAAGGGAGCGUAGAUGGAUGUUUAAGUCAGUUGUGAAAGUUUGCGGCUCAACCGUAAAAUUGCAGUUGAUACUGGAUGUCUUGAGUGCAGUUGAGGCAGGCGGAAUUCGUGGUGUAGCGGUGAAAUGCUUAGAUAUCACGAAGAACUCCGAUUG